RNAcentral lists this ribosomal RNA (486 nucleotides) under uncultured bacterium. Its description in RNAcentral is "partial 16S ribosomal RNA". It matches the Rfam family "Bacterial small subunit ribosomal RNA", at positions 29 to 507 of the family's 1533-position model. The record is from RNAcentral.
AUUGAACGCUGGCGGCAUGCCUUACACAUGCAAGUCGAACGGCAGCACGGGUGCUUGCACCUGGUGGCGAGUGGCGAACGGGUGAGUAAUACAUCGGAACAUGUCCUGUAGUGGGGGAUAGCCCGGCGAAAGCCGGAUUAAUACCGCAUACGAUCUACGGAUGAAAGCGGGGGACCUUCGGGCCUCGCGCUAUAGGGUUGGCCGAUGGCUGAUUAGCUAGUUGGUGGGGUAAAGGCCUACCAAGGCGACGAUCAGUAGCUGGUCUGAGAGGACGACCAGCCAGACUGGGACUGAGACACGGCACAGACUCCUACGGGAGGCAGCAGUGGGGAAUUUUGGACAAUGGGCGAGAGCCUGAUCCAGCAAUGCCGCGUGUGUGAAGAAGGCCUUCGGGUUGGAGAGCACUUUUGUCCGGAAAGAAAUCCUUGGCCCUAAUACGGUCGGGGGAUGACGGUACCGGAAGAAUAAGCACCGGCUAACUACGUG